UACGUAGGUGGCAAGCGUUGUCCGGAUUUACUGGGCGUAAAGGGUGUGUAGGCGGUUGUUUAAGUUUGGUGUGAAAUCUCCCGGCUCAACUGGGAGGGUGCGCCGAAUACUGAAUGACUAGAGUGCGGGAGAGGAAAGUGGAAUUCCUGGUGUAGCGGUGAAAUGCGUAGAUAUCAGGAGGAACACCGGUGGUGUAGACGGCUUUCUGGACCGUAACUGACGCUGAGACACGAAAGCGUGGGUAGCAAACAGG
Molecule: ribosomal RNA, 253 nt
Filed under: uncultured bacterium
Lineage: Bacteria
Description: partial 16S ribosomal RNA
Rfam family: Bacterial small subunit ribosomal RNA
Source: RNAcentral